CACAAUAAGUCAUGUGAUUGA
This 21-nucleotide non-coding RNA is filed under the name Caenorhabditis elegans. The record is from RNAcentral. Lineage: Eukaryota; Metazoa; Nematoda; Chromadorea; Rhabditida; Rhabditidae.